This 333-nucleotide unclassified non-coding RNA is filed under the name Hevea brasiliensis (rubber tree). Lineage: Eukaryota; Viridiplantae; Streptophyta; Magnoliopsida; Malpighiales; Euphorbiaceae. The record is from RNAcentral.
GGAAGAAAAGGAAAAAGGAUAAGAAUAAAAAGGAUGGACAGGUAGAUAGCGUGGCUGGUGUCAUUCAAGGUGAUGUUUCAGCCAUAGAAGAGACGGAAGAUAGACAAAUAGAUGAUGCUAAUAUCAGAAAGAUGAAAAAGACAAAAUUAGGGCACAAUUCGAAAAAUCUUACUAAUGAAAAGACUGAAAAAAGAGUGAGAUUUUCUGAUAAUGUACAGUUUUUCCAUCCAAUCAGUGAUCCUAGCAAUGAGAGGCAUGAAAAUAACAAACAAGAAUUAUUGCUUGGCAAAUAUUUCACACAGGAAGAAGAUGAAAUCGUCAAAGAUGCUGUUU